UCACAAAAGGAAAAUACAGGGGGAAGGGAGGGGUCUCGUUGACUUGGAGAGAAUGGAAAAGAACCAGCCCAGCACUGGAAAGCCCCCUGGUGCCAGGCUGUACCUCCUU
Ictidomys tridecemlineatus (thirteen-lined ground squirrel) is the source of this 109-nucleotide unclassified non-coding RNA. The record is from Ensembl. NCBI's taxonomy places the organism in Eukaryota, Metazoa, Chordata, Mammalia, Rodentia, Sciuridae.